GUCCCUGUAGCACAAUGGAUAGCGCGUUGGACUUCUAAUCCAAAUGGAGUGGGUUUGAAUCCCAUCUGGGCUG
Molecule: non-coding RNA, 73 nt
Organism: Trichonephila inaurata madagascariensis
Lineage: Eukaryota; Metazoa; Arthropoda; Arachnida; Araneae; Nephilidae
Source: the annotation of a GenBank genome assembly